CCUACGGGCGGCAGCAGUAGGGAAUAUUGCUCAAUGGGGGAAACCCUGAUGCAGCAACGCCGCGUGAAUGAUGAAGUUUUUCGGUUUGUAAACUCCUUUUGUUAGAGAAGAUAAUGACGGUAUCUGACUAAUAAGCACCGGCUAACUCCGUGCCAGCAGCCGCGGUAAUACGGAGGGUGCAAGCGUUACGCGGAAUCACUGGGCGUAAAGAGAGCGUAGGCGGGAUAGCAAGUCAGAAGUGAAAUGCUAUGGCUUAACCAUAGAACUGCAUUUGAAACUGUUAUUCUAGAGUAUGGGAGAGGUAGGUGGAAUUCCUGGUGUAGGGGUAAAAUGCGUAGAGAUCAAGAGGAACACUCAUUGCGAAGGCGACCUGCUAGACCAUAACUGACGUUGAGGCGCGAAAGCGUGGGGAGCAAACAGGAUUAGAUACCCGGGUAGUC
This 440-nucleotide ribosomal RNA is filed under the name uncultured bacterium. RNAcentral's name for it is "partial 16S ribosomal RNA". It matches the Rfam family "Bacterial small subunit ribosomal RNA", at positions 338 to 795 of the family's 1533-position model. The record is from RNAcentral.